Molecule: non-coding RNA, 72 nt
Organism: Dipodomys ordii (Ord's kangaroo rat)
Lineage: Eukaryota; Metazoa; Chordata; Mammalia; Rodentia; Heteromyidae
Source: Rfam
GGGAAGGUGGCUCAGUGGUAGAGCCCUUGCCUUGCAUGCAUGUGACCCUGGGUUCGAUUCCUCAGCACCCCA